Molecule: long non-coding RNA, 1063 nt
Filed under: Nicotiana benthamiana
Lineage: Eukaryota; Viridiplantae; Streptophyta; Magnoliopsida; Solanales; Solanaceae
Description: long non-coding RNA (NBEN_LNC036881)
Source: RNAcentral
UCCUCUAAAAUUAAGAAUUAAACUGAUUGAAGAUAUCGGGAGAUCAAAAAGGAUUUGAAUCUCAUAACGAUAUAUUAACGAUGCUUGUACAUUAUAGAACUUCUUAAUAAUGUAUGCAUAUGCAUCCACCGGUUCCAAACAACGGUUCAAGCAUAUUACGGAAAAUCGACUCAACCUUUCAACGUUAAUCCUUUAACCACUUAAAAUGGAUAUCACGGCCUUAAGAUAUUACUCUAGGCUACACUGAAAAUUCACUACUACACAUACAGAUUUUCCAGCAUAUCAUAAUAGCUCCAAACUUACACAUAUUAGUGGGACAGAAACCAAGCUCUAUUAUCAAACCCAACUACAGACAAAUUAUACGGUAGGCUCAUAUUAUGUUUCAACCACAUAAUUCACAAGAAAAAUAGAGAAAAAGAAAAGAGAUGGCUUUAAAAUUAUACGCUAGGCUCAUAUUAUGUUUCAACCACAUAAUUCACAAGAAAAAUGGAGAAAAAGAGAAGAGAUGGGCCUGAAAAUUAGACUUUCGUUGUCUGAAAUUUUCAACAAUUACACGAGCAAAUGAACCAAACGCUGCAACUGGAAAUCUGAUAGAAACUCGGCGCAAUCAUGAGCCAACUCUGAACAGCCUUGACCUCAAUCAGAUUCCAUAAUUUUAAAACGAAAAAAAAUCAGACUGAGUUUGCUCGGCACUAACGGAAACAAAGACUCCGAAUCUCGGCGGCACCUAAUGGACGACAACGAAUCUGAAUCCACCUUGUUUUGGAGAGGAUGGUGAGAUGAGUGGGGGUGGCCGAUAUUUGUGAAGGGGAGUGGAGAUGGGCUGGUGCGCCCCUGUGAGGAGGAGGACGAGAUGGGGUCUGUUGCCCUAGUGUUGCUGGAGAUGGACGACGGCGCUGAACUCUAGGGUUUCAUUGUUGUCUUUUUCCAGUCCCCCCCCCUCCCCCCCCCAGAAGGAGGGUUUCAUUGUUGUCUUUUUCCAGUCCCCCCCCCCCCCCCCCCCCAGAAGGUCUGCUCCUGUAACGUUAGCUUUUUGUUGGAAGAAGACCUGAUGGGUUUUGAU